RNAcentral lists this long non-coding RNA (747 nucleotides) under Trifolium pratense (red clover). RNAcentral describes it as "long non-coding RNA (TPRA_LNC009230)". Lineage: Eukaryota; Viridiplantae; Streptophyta; Magnoliopsida; Fabales; Fabaceae. The record is from RNAcentral.
GAAGGAAAACAUCAAGCUUGAUAGCACUGAAGAUACAAAUAAUUCAGUUAAAAGGAAAUAGAAGAAACAAAUAUAAGUAGAAACAGAAGUACCAAAAUCUAAUUAAUGUUAUGUGCAUAUAUAACGCCCCAACUAAAUUGUCUAGAAUAUUUAGUCGAGACAUAUAUAAUUGAAUCCGAGUACAUUAAAAUUACAGAAUAAUUAGUUGAACUAUGAGAUAUCACAAGAACAAUGUGAUAAUCCAGUACAAUACAGCAGAAAGAGAAUUAAAUUCUACAUGAACAGAUUAACAUAAAAACAAAGAAGAAGACGAAGUCUUCUAAUCCGAUAAUCCAAGCUCGGCCUCGAUCAUCGGUUCCUGCCCGGUCCUUUCUCCGGUUAACAAGUCUACCUAAAAAAAUUGAAAGGCGUGGGAUGAGACUACUAAGCCUCAGUGAGUCCUACUACCCAACUAAUGGUGACUACACCAGGGUACCUAAACUGAUAGUUUCUAAUCAUGAAUUAAUUCUGACAUAAUCUUCAUUAUAUUACAUGAAAGCAUAAAGGUGUAUCACAAAGUAUUAUCUGAGUUCAUUUUAAAACAUCACGGUCACCCGAGGUGAGUGUCUCGGAGUGCCGGCCUACCCGCAUUGCGAUAAUAAUAUACGUCGCUACGGUCAUACCUCACAUUUAUUAUUAAUUUUUCAUUAGUGGAUUUCUAAUGAAUCGUCUGACAUGGCACAUUAAGCCCACGCAUAACUGACAUGG